CAAUAUGUAGACAUAAUUGGUAGAUGCUUGACUUAUCCUGUUGGUUCUCGGCUUACAGCAAGUGAGCUAGUUAUUAUUUUUAAGUCUGCGCAAUUCAUUGAUUUGAAAAAGCACUAUGGAUUCCAGUGGUAAUAUGCAUAGUGAGCCGCCUGAGACUGCCUCCAGCGCGCAGUUAACAGAAUAUAGCAGCGGAUCUUUGUUAAGAUAUAUCGGUGGACUUAAGUUACGUUUUUUAGUCACUGAGCCCUUAGCU
Long non-coding RNA from Bufo bufo (common toad), 253 nucleotides. RefSeq lists it as uncharacterized. The record is from RefSeq and is a predicted model, not a curated record. NCBI's taxonomy places the organism in Eukaryota, Metazoa, Chordata, Amphibia, Anura, Bufonidae. The transcript has 3 exons.